Molecule: ribosomal RNA, 274 nt
Filed under: uncultured bacterium
Lineage: Bacteria
Description: partial 16S ribosomal RNA
Rfam family: Bacterial small subunit ribosomal RNA
Source: RNAcentral
AUACGGAGGGGGUUAGCGUUGUUCGGAAUUACUGGGCGUAAAGCGUACGUAGGCGGAUCGGAAAGUAAGGGGUGAAAUCCCGGGGCUCAACCCUGGAACUGCCUCUUAAACUCCCGGUCUUGAGUUCGAGAGAGGUGAGUGGAAUUCCUAGUGUAGAGGUGAAAUUCGUAGAUAUUAGGAGGAACACCAGUGGCGAAGGCGGCUCACUGGCUCGAUACUGACGCUGAGGUACGAAAGUGUGGGGAGCAAACAGCAUUAGAAACCCUAGUAGUCC